This 29-nucleotide non-coding RNA is filed under the name Rattus norvegicus (Norway rat). The record is from RNAcentral. Lineage: Eukaryota; Metazoa; Chordata; Mammalia; Rodentia; Muridae.
UGAAAGUACGUGUGUGUUUUCAGGGCUGA